Molecule: ribosomal RNA, 164 nt
Filed under: Centranthus ruber (red valerian)
Lineage: Eukaryota; Viridiplantae; Streptophyta; Magnoliopsida; Dipsacales; Caprifoliaceae
Also listed under: 1 other name
Description: 5.8S ribosomal RNA
Rfam family: 5.8S ribosomal RNA
About the family: 5.8S ribosomal RNA (5.8S rRNA) is a component of the large subunit of the eukaryotic ribosome. It is transcribed by RNA polymerase I as part of the 45S precursor that also contains 18S and 28S rRNA. Functionally, it is thought that 5.8S rRNA may be involved in ribosome translocation.
Source: RNAcentral
CAAACGACUCUCGGCAACGGAUAUCUCGGCUCUCGCAUCGAUGAAGAACGUAGCGAAAUGCGAUACUUGGUGUGAAUUGCAGAAUCCCGUGAACCAUCGAGUCUUUGAACGCAAGUUGCGCCCGAAGCCAUUAGGCUGAGGGCACGCCUGCCUGGGCGUCACGC